RNA transcript from Callithrix jacchus (white-tufted-ear marmoset), 1230 nucleotides. RefSeq lists it as uncharacterized. NCBI's taxonomy places the organism in Eukaryota, Metazoa, Chordata, Mammalia, Primates, Cebidae. The record is from RefSeq and is a predicted model, not a curated record.
AAGGCCGCCCGACUCGCGCUAAGAUUUGGCGCCAAAUGCCGCGGGCUCUUCUCGCCCCCGGAAUUCCCGAGUCUCGCGAGAAGCCUGCUUAGUCUGCACGCCUGGGUCCGCGCUGUGGCGCCUGUUUUCGGCGUGUGGUGAGAGCUCGCUGGCAGAAAUUGCUGCGGGUGGAACUUGUCUAUCUGGAAAGACUAUCUGGAUGAAUACAAAGAACUUUACAUUUUCCCCUAGAGGAAAAGAUGCUAGAACCAGAGGAGAAUGGCAUGAUUGACGUACCAGAUUAUGAGCAUGUAGAAGAUGAAAUUUUUCCUCCUUUCCCACCUCCAGCCUCUCCAGAGAGACAAGAUGGUGAAAGAGCUGAGCCUGAUGAAGGCUGAAGACUUGAAGACACUAAUCAGACACAUGGAGCACUGGGCACAUAGACUAUUCCCUAAACUGCAGUUUGAGGAUUUUAUUGACAGAGUUGAAUACCUGGGAAGUAAAAAGGAAGUUCAGACCUGUUUAAAACGAAUUCGACUUGAUCUUCCUAUUUUGCAUGAAGAUUUUGUAACAAUAAUGGUGAAGUUAUGGAAAAUAAUGAACAUGAUGUAACUGCUAGUGAAUGAGAUCCCUUUUUGACAAACUCAUCUGAAAGUGAGAUACUUGCUUCUGAAUCAAGUAAAAGCCUAACGGAAGAGCAACACCAAAGAAUUGAGAGAAAUAAACAACUGGCCUUGGAAAGAAGGCAGGCAAAGCUGCUGAGUGAUAGUCAGUCCCUAGGAAAUGAUAGAGUCUCACUCUGUAGGCCAGGCUGGAGUGCAAUGGCGUGAUCUUGGCUUCCUGCAACCUCCGCCUCCUGGGUUCAAGUGAUUCUCCUGCCUCAGCCUUCCGAGUAGCUGGGAUUACAGGCUCCGGUGGAGAAAUACAGGGCAUUGGACAUGGCCUGCGUGGCCAUGGAGCGCAGCAGCCUGUUCACAACGGGAUCGUUGGGGUCGUUCGCAUUAUCCAGAGAAUCAGCCAGUGUUUUAUUGGACCUGAGAAAGAACAGAAAAACUGUUAAUCCCAGACACAGUAAUUUAUAAGACAAAACUGAGGGGAACCCUUCGCUCAUCCAUCUGAAUACCUUCAUCUGCCAGUAAAUUUAUGUUGGACACAUUUCAGAAGCAACUCUUCAACUACGGAAAUCUAGUUUGCUUUGCGGUUUAAACAAAGCAAGAGUGUCAGCAUUUAAAUAAAUUUCUUAAAUAGUGA